AAGUAAAAGUCGUAACAAGGUUUCCGUAGGUGAACCUGCGGAAGGAUCAUUAUUGAAAUUAUAGGCGAGGGUUGUAGCUGGCCUCUCGGGGCAUGUGCACGCCCGAGCCCUUAAUCCACACACACCUGUGAACCUAUUGUAAGGGCCCGUAAAAAAGGCCUUUACGUCUUAUCACCAACCCAUCGUAUGUCUCAUAGAAUGUAAAUAUAUGUCCUCGCCUUAAAAAGCGUUGAUAAACUUAUACAACUUUCAACAACGGAUCUCUUGGCUCUCGCAUCGAUGAAGAACGCAGCGAAAUGCGAUAAGUAAUGUGAAUUGCAGAUUUUCAGUGAAUCAUCGAAUCUUUGAACGCACCUUGCGCUCCUUGGUAUUCCGAGGAGCAUGCCUGUUUGAGUGUCAUUAAAUUCUCAAACUCCGAUCGAUUUGUUUCGACUUCGGGGCUUGGAUUUGGAGCGUGCUGGCGUCGGUCGGCUCCUCUUAAAUGCAUCAGCGGAAUCUAACGUUCCGGACGUCAGUGUGAUAAUCACGUUGCGCUGUCUUUCGGUCCGAAAAGCCCGCUCACAAUGGUCUUCGGACAACUUCAUAUCAAAUUUGACCUCAAAUCAGGUAGGACUACCCGCUGAACUUAAGCAUAUCAAUAAGCGGAGGAAAAGAAACUAACAAGGAUUCCCCUAGUAACUGCGAGUGAAGCGGGAAAAGCUCAAAUUUAAAAUCUGGCGGUCUUGCGGCCGUCCGAGUUGUAAUCUGGAGAAGCGUUUAUCCGCGUCGGACCGUGUACAAGUCUUCUGGAAGGGAGCGUCGUAGAGGGUGAGAAUCCCGUCUUUGACACGGACAACCGAUGCUUUUGUGAUGCGCUCUCGAAGAGUCGAGUUGUUUGGGAAUGCAGCUCAAAAUGGGUGGUAAAUUCCAUCUAAAGCUAAAUAUUGGCGAGAGACCGAUAGCGAACAAGUACCGUGAGGGAAAGAUGAAAAGCA
This 974-nucleotide unclassified non-coding RNA is filed under the name Piloderma olivaceum. RNAcentral's name for it is "sequence contains 18S rRNA gene, ITS1, 5.8S rRNA gene, ITS2, 28S rRNA gene". The stretch from base 593 to 974 matches the Rfam family "Eukaryotic large subunit ribosomal RNA", at positions 1 to 373 of the family's 3401-position model. The record is from RNAcentral. Lineage: Eukaryota; Fungi; Basidiomycota; Agaricomycetes; Atheliales; Atheliaceae.